RNAcentral lists this microRNA precursor (93 nucleotides) under Triticum aestivum (bread wheat). RNAcentral describes it as "miR1847 stem-loop (tae-MIR1847)". Lineage: Eukaryota; Viridiplantae; Streptophyta; Magnoliopsida; Poales; Poaceae. The record is from miRBase by way of RNAcentral.
CCGUAACUGUACCUGCAGUUGGGCCAAUGACAUGUGGGCCUAACAGACGGCUGGCCCACAUGCCAUUGAUCCAACUGUAGGUGCAGUUACGGC